Molecule: ribosomal RNA, 510 nt
Filed under: uncultured bacterium
Lineage: Bacteria
Description: partial 16S ribosomal RNA
Rfam family: Bacterial small subunit ribosomal RNA
Source: RNAcentral
GACGAACGCUGGCGGCGUGCUUAACACAUGCAAGUCGAACGAAGAGCGGUGGAACCUUGCUUCUAUAAAUCUUAGUGGCGAACGGGUGAAUAACGCGGAAUCAACCUGCCCUUGAGUGGGGUACAACAGGGGGACACGACUGCUAAUACCGCAUACGAUCUAACCUCGUGGUCGAGUAUAGAUGAAAGGUGGCGCCUUCACUUAAGCUAUCACUGACGCAGGGGUUUCCGGCUGAUUAGCUAGCUGGGUAGGAAACGGCCCAUCAAGGCGAUGACCAGUAGCCCGACCUGGGAGAUGAACGGCCACAUUGGGACUGAGACACGGCCCAGAAUCCUACCGGAAGGAGCAGUGAGGAAUCCUCCGGAAUGGACGAAAGUCUGACCGGGCAACGCCGCGGGAGUGAUGACGGCUUUCGGGUUGGAAAGCUCUGUUAAUCGGGAAGAAAGGAAUUUUUGCGAAAAGUGGCAAGGAUUGACGGUACCGGAAUAGAAAGCCACGGCUAACUACGUG